Molecule: long non-coding RNA, 2220 nt
Organism: Oncorhynchus tshawytscha (Chinook salmon)
Lineage: Eukaryota; Metazoa; Chordata; Actinopteri; Salmoniformes; Salmonidae
Source: Ensembl
AUCACAACUGGAGGAGACAGGUGUCAGCAGGAGGAGGCAGGGAACUGGUCUGUCUGCCCAAUAUAAAGGAUCACAACUGGAGGAGACAGGUGUCAGCAGGAGGAGGCAGGGAACUGGUCUGUCUGCCCAAUAUAAAGGAUCAAAACUGGAAGAGGCAGGUGUCAGCAGGAGGAGGCAGGGAACUGGUCUGUCUGCCCAAUAUAAAGGAUCACAACUGGAGGAGACAGGUGGCAGCGGGAGGAGGUAGGGAACUGGUCUGUCUGCCCAAUAUAAAGGAUCACAACUGGAGGAGGCAGGGAACUGGUCUGUCUGCCCAAUAUAAAGGAUCAAAACUGGAGGAGGCAGGUGGCAGCGGGAGGAGGUAGGGAACUGGUCUGUCUGCCCAAUAUAAAGGAUCACAACUGGAGGAGGAAUAAAAACAGCAUAAAUAGGAAAGUAUACCAGUUUCAUUUGAGGACCAGGAUGUUGACAACUGCCAUACAGAUUGCAGAAUAUUUAGGAGGAGAUGUUUGAUGUACUGAUUCCAUGGUACAGGGUGUAUGAGUUUAUAUAUAAAACAAUGCGAUAUUCAAGACUUCGUGAUUUUCAUCAAACAUUAUUAUAUAGACAUAUAGAAAGAUUAUGUACAUAAUUCUUGCCACCAACAAAAUGUUUAAUAUUUGGGGCAUAAAAUCAUCGAAGAUCUGCAGAUUUUGUUGUGAGGAUACAGAAUCAAUAGACCAUUUAUUUUGGUAUUGCCCUCAGGUAGCCUGUUUCUGGUCUCAGGUUCAGGAAUGUCUGAAAAUUCAUAGCAUUGAUCUAAAAUUGACCCUAGAAAUAGUACUGUUAGGAGAUCUGGAGAGACCUGGUCAGUCAAUUACUAAUAUACUAAUACUCCUAGUAAAAGUAUUUAUCUUCAACUCGCAAUCUGUAGAUUCUAUUCCAUUAGAUAGAUUGAAUUAUACGUUAAACAUCACAGCAUAGUUGAAAGAUAUAUGUUGCAUAUAAAUCCGAAGAGGGUGGCCAACAGAGACAGGUGGGAUGGGCUGAGGGAAGCUGAGGGUUGGGAUGUGGAACUAGAGACAAGUGGGAGAGGCUGAGGGAAGCUGAGGGUUGGGAUGUGGAACUAGAGACAAGUGGGAGGGGCUGAGGAAGCUGAGGGUUGGGAUGUGGAACUAGAGACAGGUGGGAGGGGCUGAGGGGAGCUGAGGGUUGGGAUGUGGAACUAGAGACAAGUGGGAGGGGCUGAGGGGAGCUGAGGGUUGGGAUGUGGAACUAGAGACAAGUGGGAGGGGCUGAGGGGAGCUGAGGGUUGGGAUGUGGAACUAGAGACAAGUGGGAGGGGAGCUGAGGGUUGGGAUGUGGAACUAGAGACAAGUGGGAGGGGCUGAGGAAGCUGAGGGUUGGGAUGUGGAACUAGAGACAAGUGGGAGGGGCUGAGGGGAGCUGAGGGUUGGGAUGUGGAACUAGAGACAAGUGGGAGGGGUGCUGAGGGUUGGGAUGUGGAACUAGAGACAAGUGGGAGUGGAGCUGAGGGUUGGGAUGUGGAACUAGAGACAAGUGGGAGUGGAGCUGAGGGUUGGGAUGUGGAACUAGAGACAAGUGGGAGUGGAGUUGCUCUGUGGGAGAUAGAAUGAUGGCCAAAGAUAAAAGUCAAUAUAAAACAUUAAAAAAGUAUGUUUGAAUGACACUAAGUGGCAGUGUUUUUUCAACUAAUGUCAGUUUGCCUGAGGCUGAUGCCGUGCAGGUGUUUGUACACAUGAAUACACACACACUCUCAUUCAAAUACACACAUACAAGAACACACACAUACAUGUAAUAGUGCCAGACAUGCACACAAACAUAUACAGUUGGCAUUGCUGUUAUGAUUUCAGUUGUCCAUGAUGGCCUUUGUCUUUUGUGUGUGUUGUUUUGCAUUUGUUGUUUUCCUGUUUUUUUCUGUCUUUGUCUUUUUUCUCUUUAGUUCAUUCUCUUGGUUGUUGGUGCACAAAUGUUUGAGGGGCAGCUAUUGGGGAACUGUGGGGGAGAUCUUGGAGGGUUCGGGUUUAUGUUUUUGGCCUGGUGGGAGAUCUGUCAACAUGCCCUUGAGCAGGGCAUUGACCCUGGAUGCUUCUGUGUGUCGCUCUGAAUGGGAGUCUGUUGGAUGACUGGUGUGAUGUAGUUGUUGAAUGGGAGUCUGUUGGAUGACUGGUGUGAUGUAGUUGUUGAAUGGGAGUCUGUUGGAUGACUGGUGUGAUGUAG